This 429-nucleotide ribosomal RNA is filed under the name bacterium. RNAcentral describes it as "partial 16S ribosomal RNA". It matches the Rfam family "Bacterial small subunit ribosomal RNA", at positions 355 to 776 of the family's 1533-position model. The record is from RNAcentral.
UAGGGAAUCUUCCACAAUGGACGCAAGUCUGAUGGAGCAACGCCGCGUGAGUGAAGAAGGUUUUCGGAUCGUAAAGCUCUGUUGUUGGUGAAGAAGGAUAGAGGCAGUAACUGGUCUUUAUUUGACGGUAAUCAACCAGAAAGUCACGGCUAACUACGUGCCAGCAGCCGCGGUAAUACGUAGGUGGCAAGCGUUGUCCGGAUUUAUUGGGCGUAAAGCGAGCGCAGGCGGAACGAUAAGUCUGAUGUGAAAGCCCACGGCUCAACCGUGGAACUGCAUCGGAAACUGUCAUUCUUGAGUGCAGAAGAGGAGAGUGGAAUUCCAUGUGUAGCGGUGGAAUGCGUAGAUAUAUGGAAGAACAUCAGUGGCGAAGGCGGCUCUCUGGUCUGCAACUGACGCUGAGGCUCGAAAGCAUGGGUAGCGAACAGG